Molecule: non-coding RNA, 231 nt
Organism: Peromyscus maniculatus bairdii (prairie deer mouse)
Lineage: Eukaryota; Metazoa; Chordata; Mammalia; Rodentia; Cricetidae
Source: RefSeq, a predicted model, not a curated record
CACGGUGCUUCUAACAGCUCCUGGAACAUAGUAAACACUGUAUAGGGACUUACUCCCUGCACACUGUUCUUCCUGGCUGCCCCAUGAGUUCCUUCUCUUUCACUGUAGCUGGCUAUGAUUAUCAUUAUUUUACGCAAGCUACAGCUGGCAACAUUACCGGUUUGCCAUAGGCUUCUUCUUCAUGGCUGCAUCUACAUCCGGCCACCACGGUAAGUGUACUUGUUCAUCCUG